Molecule: ribosomal RNA, 253 nt
Filed under: uncultured bacterium
Lineage: Bacteria
Description: partial 16S ribosomal RNA
Rfam family: Bacterial small subunit ribosomal RNA
Source: RNAcentral
UACGUAGGGGGCAAGCGUUGUCCGGAUUUACUGGGCGUAAAGAGCGCGUAGGCGGAAAUUUAAGCGUGGCCUGAAAGCCCCCGGCUCAACCGGGGAGUGCGGUUGCGAACUGGAUUUCUUGAGGACGAUAGAGGAGAGUGGAAUUCCCGGUGUAGCGGUGAAAUGCGCAGAUAUCGGGAGGAACACCGGUGGCGAAGGCGGUUCUCUGGGCCUUACCUGACGCUGAGGAGCGAAAGCGUGGGGAGCGAACAGG